CCCGAUUGAUUCUGUCGGCGGUUAUAUGCUUAUCUCAAAGGCUAAGCCAUGCAUGUCUAAGUUCAAAUGGCCUAUAAAGGUGAAACCGCGAACGGCUCAUUACAACAGCUAUUAUAUACUUGAUCUUGAUAUCCUACGUGGAUAACUGUGGUAAUUCUAGAGCUAAUACAUGCACCAAAGCUCCGAUUUUCUGACGAGCGCAUCUAUUAGAUUAAAACCAAUCGGGUUUCGGCCCGUUAAUUGGUGACUCUGAAUAACUAUAGCUGAUCGCAUGGUCUCGAACCGGCGACGUGUCUAUCAAGUGUCUGCCUUAUCAACUGUCGAUGGUAGUUUAUGUGCCUACCAUGGUUGUAACGGGUAACGGAGAAUAAGGGUUCGACUCCGGAGAGGGAGCCUGAGAAAUGGCUACCACAUCCAAGGAAGGCAGCAGGCGCGCAAAUUACCCACUCUCGGCAUGAGGAGGUAGUGACGAAAAAUAACGAGACCGUUCUCUAUGAGGCCGGUUAUCGGAAUGGGUACAAUUUAAACCCGUUAACGAGGAACUAUGAGAGGGCAAGUCUGGUGCCAGCAGCCGCGGUAAUUCCAGCUCUCAAAGUGUAUAUCGUCAUUGCUGCGGUUAAAAAGCUCGUAGUUGGAUCUGCGCCUCAGGAUCUGGUCCGCCCACUGGGCGAGAACUGGGCUCCUGGGCUAGUUCUGCUGGUUUUCCCUACGUUGCCUCGGUCGCGUAGGGUGGCUAGCGAGUUUACUUUGAAAAAAAUUAGAGUGCUUCUAACGCGGGCUUAUGUCUGAAUACUCGUGCAUGGAAUAAUAGAAUAGGAUCUCGGUUUCUAUUUUGUUGGUUUUCUGAUCUGAGAUAAUGGUUAGAGGGGACGGAGACGGGCAUUCGUAUCGCUGCGUGAGAGGUGAAAUUCUUGGACCGUAGCGAGACGUCCGACUGCGAAAGCAUUUGCCAAGAAUGUCUUCAUUAAUCAAGAACGAAAGUCAGAGGUUCGAAGGCGAUCAGAUACCGCCCUAGUUCUGACCGUAAACAUACCAAAUCAGCUUCCGUCGCCGGUAAAUAUGCCUUGACGGGUUAGCUUCCCGGAAACGAAAGUCUUUCGGUUCCGGGACAGUAUGGUUGCAAAGCUGAAAACUUAAAGAAAAUUGACGGAAGGGCACCACCAGGAGUGGGAGCCUGCGGCUUAAUUUGACUCAACACCAGGAAAAAUCACCUGGCCCGACACCGUAAGGAAUUGACAGAUUGAGAAGCUCUUUGGUUCCGGGGUUGGUUGGGCNUAUAUAUAUAUAUAUAUAUAUAUAUAUAUAUAUAUAUAUAAAGCAACCCACUGAAAACUACCACCACCCUAAAACAAUGAAACGCGCUUAGUUAUUAUCUCGUGCACCUCUUCGACAUUCAAUGAGGGCCGAAUCCCACGUCUUCUCUUCCACACUGUUCAACAACAACGAUAUCCACUAGGAUGAAAACCUCCUAAAAAUGCGCAUUCUUCCAAAAAGCUUUCAAGUUGCUGCCACCAAUUCUUAUGGUUCCAUUAGAGCCACAAAUUGCUCCUAUUGCCAGCUUAUCGAUUUACGCCAAAAAACGAAAAAAAAGCCGAAUUCACAAACUUACAUCAUUUUCAAUAAAGAGCAUCCUUCUAUAAGGUAACGAUAUCGGGAAACUAGCCGUAGGUGAGCGU
RNAcentral lists this ribosomal RNA (1676 nucleotides) under Parascaris univalens. Its description in RNAcentral is "SSU rRNA". It matches the Rfam family "Eukaryotic small subunit ribosomal RNA", at positions 3 to 1440 of the family's 1831-position model. Lineage: Eukaryota; Metazoa; Nematoda; Chromadorea; Rhabditida; Ascarididae. The record is from RNAcentral.